UACGGAAGGUCCGGGCGUUAUCCGGAUUUAUUGGGUUUAAAGGGAGCGUAGGCCGGAGAUUAAGCGUGUUGUGAAAUGUAGACGCUCAACGUCUGCACUGCAGCGCGAACUGGUUUCCUUGAGUACGCACAAAGUGGGCGGAAUUCGUGGUGUAGCGGUGAAAUGCUUAGAUAUCACGAAGAACUCCGAUUGCGAAGGCAGCUCACAGGAGCGCAACUGACGCUGAAGCUCGAAAGUGCGGGUAUCGAACAGG
RNAcentral lists this ribosomal RNA (253 nucleotides) under Segatella copri DSM 18205. RNAcentral's name for it is "Prevotella copri DSM 18205 partial 16S ribosomal RNA". It matches the Rfam family "Bacterial small subunit ribosomal RNA", at positions 524 to 776 of the family's 1533-position model. The record is from RNAcentral. Lineage: Bacteria; Pseudomonadati; Bacteroidota; Bacteroidia; Bacteroidales; Prevotellaceae.